This is a long non-coding RNA of Canis lupus familiaris (dog), 3047 nucleotides long. RefSeq lists it as uncharacterized. NCBI's taxonomy places the organism in Eukaryota, Metazoa, Chordata, Mammalia, Carnivora, Canidae. The transcript is spliced from 5 exons. The record is from RefSeq and is a predicted model, not a curated record.
CCGCGCCUGCCCACGAGCGCCGGAGGCCCGCGGCCCAAGCGUUCCGGCCCGAGGCGAGGAGCGCUCGGGGGCCUGAACCGCCGUCGGCAACGGCAAGUUUUGUGAAUAACAGUAAACUACGGUCAUAGGAAGGUUUCUUCGUGCUGGGUCUUUUCUGGGUGUUGAAAUCAGCCUUAGCAAACGUGAUUCUAUCAGACUCCGGACCUCUCUCUUUUGAUAAGCCCCGAAAUGAAAUCAUCAUCUCGGACCACAGCUGGUUUAUAAUCUCAUGUAUCUACACAUUUUUUUUUUUUUAAUGAUAGUCACACAGAGAGAGAGAGAGAGAGAGAGGCAGAGACACAGGCAGAGGGAGAAGCAGGCUCCAUGCACCGGGAGCCCGACGUGGGAUCCGAUCCCGGGUCUCCAGGAUCGCGCCCUGGGCCAAAGGCGGGCGCCAAACCGCUGCGCCACCGGGGAUCCCUCUACACAUGUUUUUAAAUCGGCACGUGCAGCAAUGCUCCAACAUUAAAGAAGAAACAAAGGGAAAGUGAUACGUGACGCUCUUGUUACCCUGUGAACCCUGGACCCACGAAGUGAGCAGGAGCUGGCGCCCAUCCGGGCCCCUCUAGACACACCUACGGACUGCGGGUCCCGCUGCUGGCACAGCAUAGUGCAACUCAAGCCAGACCUUCAACGUGGCACUAGGAACUUGGUACGACGAAUGGCUUUGCAAGUGGAUGUAGCAGGUUGAGUUUAUUUCUCUAUUGAAUCAAGGCAAGCCUGGUGGCUACUUUAAUCAAUAAAAUAUGGUGGAAAUGAUGCUGUGCCACUCCAGGUACAGCAUGGCAGCUGUCACCACCCUCUUUGUACACCUAUGACUUUUAUAUCAGUGGACAAUCACCCAGUCUGCUAAGCCUAGAGUGGAGUUCAUCAUUCUUACCACAGCUCCUUUUCUGAGCUCUGUUACUCUGUGAGAGCAAACAAAGCUUGGUCCAGCUUGGUUCACCAGGAAAGAUCAAUAGUUAAAAAUCCAUGCUGGUACCUACUGUCUGAGAAUAAGGAUCACAUCUAGAGCAUCAAGGGCUUUAUGUCCCAAGAAUGAAGGAAGGAGAAAGGUGGGGGCAGUAGAUGCCCCCUAAAGGCAGCUUCCUGGCUUCUUGGUUCUGAUUCCUGAGAGCAAGAAGAACGGAGAUGUUAGCAGAAACCCAGGAAUCCCCAGUGGGAAAGCCAGAAGAAGAAAAUGAAACACAGUUUUGUAAAUGCCACCCUCACAGCCCUGGGGGUUCCUUCCCAGUCUUCUUUCAGCCAGCGAGAGGAUGCAGCUCAUCUCCGGUACCUCUACCUCCCACAUUGCCACCAAAUGGAGUAAUUCCAGUUUAUCUUCUUGCUGGUCUCCAUUUUACAAACAAAGCUAACAUUUCCUUGAAGAUUUCUAGCCAACAUCGUUGAGGACCACUACUGCAAGGCACAGCCCCAGCUGCAUUUUGGAUCCUAGCUUCUCAGUGUUAUUUGAUGAAAAAUGUGAAAACACGGGGACUUGAUUUACUUCACCUGCACUCGCCCAGAAGCAGGGAUGUCUGUUACUCAGAGUCACCUGGAGGGCUUUCUCCACAAACACAUAUCCAGGCUCUAUCCUCAGAGAUUCUGAUCCAAUGAAAGAGAUGAGGCCUAUGAAUCUGUGUAUUUUAAUGUUCUUCAGAUGAUCUAACGAAGACUAAGGUUUGGAAACGACCAUUGUACUAAACAUUUACAUAUAUUUUGAAUUUAAACAAUAGUAUAGAUCAGCUAGCUUCCCCUUUGAGUUGUACAUUUUAAGAUAUUAAUAAAUAGAUUUUUAAAUAUAUUCCUGAGUGUGGUAGAGCAGGGAAAGGUGAAGAGACUCAGUGAGUUACCUUGUAUUCUGCUCCAGUCUUUUUGGUUCUCGAACUAUUGCACACAUACAUCCUUCUCUCACCAGUUGGUCAUCACGUGCAACUUUUAUGGCUUCUGAUCUCUACUAUUCCAGUAAGCCACCACUUAGAGUGCAGGUAAUCAUCACACCUUUGAUACUUUGCCUUGUCUGGUUUUCUCCAGUCUGAGCCACUGCUGUAGCAGCUGGAGCCAGGCUUUUACAGGCUACUCAGGUGAUGCAGAUGGUCGGCCAGAUUUGGGAACUGCAGCCUAAGUGCUGUUUUUGAUAGCCUACCUUAGCUCUCCUGAACGGUGUUGUGUCCCUUCCAGGUGAAAGAUACUAAAGGAGAUACAUCCUACUAUUCCUUUGGAAGGUUUUGAAACAGAUCAACAAAACAUUCAGAUCAUUCAUAAUCUGAAAUACAUUUCUCUACUCAGAUAUCAAUAGAGACUCACAAACAUCUAAGCCCUGGAUAAGUGUGUCCAUUAACACCUAUUUCCCCACGCAGAAAAGAAGAAAUAAGACCUUCUUAAGGGUGGGUUUGUAAGGAAAGAGGGAUUCAAGUUACAAGAUUUCCUACACUUGAGUAAGGAAUAAUGUGAACAAAUAGAUUAAAAGCACUCUUUAAAUUUCACUGGAUAGUUCUAAUCUGAUGGGAUUUAUAACUAAAAAUUCUAUAAACGCAGCAGUUUCUGAGUUCAAAAUAUUGCUUAAAAAUGAAACAAGAGGGCAUCCUGGGUGGCUCAGCGGUUUGGUGCUGCUUUCAGCCCAGGGCGUGAUCCUGGAGUUGUGGGAUUGAGUCCCACACCGGGCUCCCUGCAUGGAGCCUGCUUCUCCCUCUGCCCGUGUCUCUGCCUCUCUCUCUCUCUCUGUGUCUCUUAUGAAUAAAUAAAUAAAAUCUUUUAAAAAAUGAAACAAGAAAAUGCUAUCAUGUAUCAACUGAAAUUCUGCCCAACCAGCAGUAACUUCUAAAACACCUGUUUGGAGAGCUUUCUAAAACAAAGGGAAGAGGAGGAGGGCAAGAUGGUGGAAGGGUAGGGUCUUCAACUCAUCCGGUCCCACCAACUCACCUAGAUAACUUUAGAAACAUCCUGAACACCUAUGAAUUCGACCUGAGAUUUAAAGAGAGGACAGCUGGAACGAUACAGAGAGAAAAGUAAGUAAGCAAGCAAGUAAA